Molecule: ribosomal RNA, 301 nt
Filed under: uncultured bacterium
Lineage: Bacteria
Description: partial 16S ribosomal RNA
Rfam family: Bacterial small subunit ribosomal RNA
Source: RNAcentral
CAGCAGCCGCGGUAAUACGAAGGGGGCAAGCGUUGUUCGGAUUUACUGGGCGUAAAGCGUACGUAGGCGGAUAUUUAAGUCAGGGGUGAAAUCCCGAGGCUCAACCUCGGAACUGCCUUUGAUACUGGGUAUCUUGAGUCCGGGAGAGGUGAGUGGAACUCCUAGUGUAGAGGUGAAAUUCGUAGAUAUUCGGAAGAACACCAGUGGCGAAGGCGACACACUGGCUCACUACUGACGCUGAGGCGCGAAAGCGUGGGGAGCAAACAGGAUUAGAUACCCGCGUAGUCCCUGUCUCUUAUAC